CUCCCAAAACAAGUGGCUAUAAGAAUAAUGUAUUUAGUGCUAAAAUUUCUAAAGCUGAUAAAGAGAUUGUAGCAUUGUUCCCUAUUUAUGCAAUACAUUUUAUUUAGUUUUAUGUGUUGCAAGAGUUUCCAGUUCCUAAGACCUAGGACCCUGUAAUGAAAUGCUACAUUUUACAGGACUUCUUUGUUGUUGUUCUCAGACUAUUCCUUGUAAACUGAAUAGCCUGAUAAAGAUACUGGUGAAGCUCUCUAUGGAACUGUGAUUGGUUUUAGCUGUAUUUCAAAGAUGAUGACUGAAUAGCAGUCUUUCCUGAUAGCUUCAGCAGCUGAAUACUCCAACAAAAUUGGUGUUUAUCAUCAAAUGAGAGUAGGUAUCUGGUUCUUCACCAAAUGAUAGCUGAUUUUUCUUCCAUUGCUUGGUUUCACCUAACACUCAGAACUUACCUCACUGGCCCCAAAAGAAAGUCCAGUGUCUAUAACUGCAGGGCAGACUAGGCAAUAAGACAUAUUUUCCAUGCUGUCCCACUGAUCUAAACACCACCGAGUUGCACUACCACCAACAGUUAAGAAAAAUGCUGUUCAUUCUCCAAAUAUGAUAGAAUGGACUCUUCUUUCUCAUGGACCCAAGAGUAUGCACACACACAAAAAUAUCCUUCCAUUCCCCCUUUCCAACAGACACUUAGAAUCUUCUUGAGAGGAGUGAGAAACUUCAACACCCUUCUCUUUCACUAUAGAUUCUGCCCUAUGAAGAAGAGUGCUAGUGUUAAUACUUGCUUGUGUCUCAUCUAUGUGCUUUGAGCCUUAAUAUCUGAAUAUAAAGCCAGUUAUCCACCAAGGUGAAGGACCUGUUCAAUUUGUGUUUACUGACCUAGAACACAAGUGCUGAUGGAAACCAAUAUAUAAGAGAAUUUUAUUGACAUCUACAGUGAAAAUAAAUUAGGUGCUUGAACAGAAAGUUGAAUAUGCCAUCUACUUUGAGGAAUCAAAAAUAUCCUAUUUCACCUUGUACAAUGUCAAAGCCGGGCCACCAGUGAAUCAUUCAAAAGUCUGUGUCAAUUGAUAAUAAAUUAUGCGUUGACACCCUGAAUGAGAAGUAAACAUCUCUCUAAUCCUGCUUUUCCAUUGCAUUUAUUGCCUGAUUUAAAAAAAAAAAAAAACUUCAUUUUUGUUUCAUUCAACUCAUAUUCUAACAGAAGAUUCUACCCAUCUAUGCUGCGAAAGCAACCAAGGCAAGUAACAGAGCCUUGGUCUUAGAGAGUGCUGUUUGGGCUUAAUAAAGAGGAGACUAGUGUGUGUCUAGGUAUUCAAUUCUAUUUUUCAUGUUGUCCAUCAAGGAAUUUUUAGAAAUUGAAAUAGGACUUCAUAAUAUAAUUUAAAACGUUUAAAUAUUCUUGGGUAUGGGAGAUAAAAUCCCAGGAGAAAGUAUGAUCUGGGACAUCCAAGGUUAUAAUAAGAGGGUGCAGGGUCAAGGAGAUGCAGGACAACAGUCCUGGGCAGGGAUCAUCACUUCAUUCACCAAGCGACAGAAUAAUGACAUAAGCCCAGGCAAAUGAGGUUGAUUACUAUGCAAAUGCAACUGAACCCAAUCUCUGCUCCUCUAAACAUAUAGAUGCCCUUAAGCAUAGACUGUGUAGAGACUCUGGGAGCCGCCACCAUCUAGUCUAAUAGUGCUUAGUAAUGAGCAGCAGCAAACCUCUGAAGAAGUCUUCUGUGGAGCUCAGGAUCACAGAAAGCUUCACCAUCUCUCAAAUAAGUCUUGAGCUAAAACCAUAUGAUGAUCAUUCUAUCGCUAGUGUUUAGCUCUUAUUUAACACUGACCAUAUGAAGUGGAUUAUUAAACACUCAAUUUGGAAGCUCUGUUUUACAUUUUUAUACAAUAUCCUAUUUGUUUCUCAUGGCAGCCCUGUAUGAAGCAGACGCAAUUAUUUCUCUCGUUGUACUAACUGAGCAAACAGGAUCUCCAAGAGUACAAAUGACUUUCUGGAUCGUAUAUAGCAGCAGCAUAAUUAAGAGGACAGCAUAACUCCUUUCCUUGGUCAACCCAAGCCUGACAACCUUGCAAAAUGGUGCAUGGGUAUUUUCAGAGUCUGUGCACGUGUGGUUCGACAGCUUCUGGGAAAAUAAAUGUGAAAAUUGCUUGGCUUGCACGGAGUAGAAACAUUUUUUUUUAUUUCCUGAGGUGUAGGCUGUUGACAGAAACUGGACCCUGGAGAAGGGAAGCGCUUGAUUUAACAAACAAACAAAACCUAACCUUCAUGGAAUAUUCAGCUUUCUUGCCACUAAGUAUGAAGGCCUUAGAGGCAUGAGCGGACUGGCCACGGCUCAGGCUUUACAGAAAUAAGUCUCUACAUCUGGCCUAUUGAAUGCUGAAUAUAUUGUUGCCUGGUAAGAUGAAGGCAUGGAAACUGGGGUGCAUGGUUUCCUUGGAGCUUUCACUCCUGUGGUUACAGCACAAUGCCAAUUGGGCCUGCAUUUAGGGUUGACAGGAAUUGAUGUGAAUCUGUUCAAACAAUUUUCCUGUAGCAUCAGUCAAUUACACAGAAAAUGUAAGCACUCCUGCAAUAAGUCUGGCACCCAUGCUGUUACUUGGAUAAUAAGUAUGUGUGUUUUCCUGAUUAUAUUUGGGUAAAUGCUAAGGUCCAGGCACCGAAGAAGAAAAGAAAGUCAAUGGGAAAUUACCAAAGGAUUGGGUUUGCCUGAAGCAAAUAUCAUUCCAAAUAAAAAGAGGAGGAGAAACAGCCAAACUCAUUUUGCCACUGGAGUUCUUUGGGUGUUUAGGCUCUGUAAUAUACUGUUAAUGUGAUUAAAAUGGAGGCAUUCAGACUUAAACGGUUGUUAAAAUAAAUUAGGGACAUCAAAAUUGGCAGGGUUUAGGUUUUGGAGAACUCCAUUCUGUCAAUCUUCCCUGGAAUUUAACCACUCCAAUAUUAAGCUAUUGUUUUUCACGAUGUGAAACUUGGCAGAGAACAAAAUGAACAGAGCCACAGCUUUGGAGAGAAAUCCACUGAAACUCAGCAAAGGACUGCUGUCUAAGAAUGUCUUUCUUAGAAGACCUAAGCUAAAACAGCUAUUAACUAGGUCAUGACUGUGUCUCAAGAAGGUUCUAACAAACAGUACUUGGGAAUAAAAAGGGCCACAUGUAAAAUAUCUACUGGGGAAAGAUCUCUGCUUUACAACGUUCAUGUACAGAGAAGAAAACGAAGUCUUCAUUUCCUGUGACACACCAAUGAUGAACCAUUUCCCUGGUCAGGUAAAAAGCAGAGUGAACUAACUGUAGGUCUGGAGUUCUAGUCAACUGGGGCCUUCCUUUUGUUUAGUUUCUGACCUUGGCCGAGUUAGUUCUUUGGUUCAGGAUUCUUAUUUGUAAAAUCAGCAUGAACAUGUCAGCUUCCAAACCGUUGUGGCUGAGGACAACCAGAGCAAAUGACUUUCAGAUGUCAAAAUGAUUUGAAAUUAAACGUCCUCACAAACAUGAUUUAAGAUACAGAGGUGUGCUGAGGGAAAUGGCCACGUGUUCACUGAGAAGGGCAGCUCACUGAAGAAGAAGAAACCAGGCCAGGAGGGAGAAGGGUCUCACACAGAGGCAGGAAUGACAGGUGCCAUAGCUGGUGGUGUGUAUGUGUCCUUUCCAACUCUGACUCCCAAGCACCCAUUUGAGUUGAAUGGCCACGUGGCCAGUUUGAGAUGAGUGUCUAGGCUGCUAAGGUGUGUUGUGGUUGUCGAUGUUGGGAAGCGUCUUUUUCUACCCCUAGAUUAUUUGGCGCAGCUGUCUCCAAUGUCUGCCUGCUUGAUCCUUCCCCCUUUUAGUGCUAAUAUAAUGAAGAGGAUGACUUUGAAAUGAUCCAAAACCCUAGUUGAUUCUCCAGCUGGCCAUAAUUGUGAGUCUUCGACCUCAAAAUCCAUACUAAAGUCUGUUGCCGCUAGAGCAGUCUAACAAGAGCACAGGGCUGGGAUAUGAACAGGGGGAGAACUGCAAGUGAAGGCAUUAGGUUAGAUUAAACCUUACCAAUGGAGAAACAAAAAGCUACUCUCUGGUCUCAGAGGCUGGCAAGAGCAAGCAAGAUUCCUUUUGAGAAUCAGGGACUCCACAUGGAUGCACUUCAGAAAACAUUAGCAGGUUUCUAAAUUGCUAAUCUCCUCAGUGUCCCCAAGAUACGUAGUCUUUCUGAAAUGGUUUGUGGCAUUUCAUUCCCAUUUAUACUUCAUUUAAGAUAUGUCCCUCAUCCUUGCCUAAUAUGAGUACAUUUCUAGGCACAAAAUCAACUUGGUGAUUUUUGCAUUUUAGCGCAUAUGAGCAGGUAUAUGUGCACAUCUGUAAAUGUGUAUAUGUAUAUGCAUAUAAAUACAUUGGUACUCUGUGGAUGCACUGGAACUUUAGAUGGUGGGAGGAAGAUGAGUGCCAUCUCGUGGAGAGCCCUACCAUUACAUUUUUCAAAUUGCCUCUCUUAAAACAUUUUUUCAAAAAAAAAUUCCAAACUACUAUUCUUUGGGGUAAACGUUUUCUUCUUCUCUUUUCAGGUUGCUUGCUUGCAUAAAUAAUAAGGGUCUUCUGAGUAAACAUCACACGAUCCGAUGUGUCCUGAUGCACAUGAGGGAAUGUACUGUGGAUGGAUAUGGAGAGUGUGGAGAAACUCUGAUGUUACUGGAUUUACGCCCAUCUCAUAAAUCAAGGUGAACAGGCAUUCAUCAUGAUGGUAGGUGUGUGAACUGGAAGGAGAGAAGCAGAUUCCUGUAUGGUCUCCAGAAUGGCAGAGAGAGAAGCUAUCUGAUAUUUUUAAGAAGAUCUGAGGUCAGUGGAGGAAGUAAGUGGUUUUAACUGGAAAAGCAGACUUGCCUAUCUGUACAUGUGUUGCACUCUAUCAUCAAUAAAAAUGCCUCUGUGAGACUUUCUGGUAAAUGAUGGAUACCCCCCCACACACCAUCUGCUGAGAAAGUC
Peromyscus leucopus (white-footed mouse) is the source of this 4935-nucleotide long non-coding RNA. RefSeq lists it as uncharacterized. The transcript is spliced from 4 exons. NCBI's taxonomy places the organism in Eukaryota, Metazoa, Chordata, Mammalia, Rodentia, Cricetidae. The record is from RefSeq and is a predicted model, not a curated record.